GAUGAAGAACGUAGCGAAAUGCGAUAAGUAAUGUGAAUUGCAGAAUUCAGUGAAUCAUCGAGUCUUUGAACGCACAUUGCGCCCCCUGGUAUUCCGGGGGGCAUGCCUGUCCGAGCGUCAUUGCUGCCCUCAAGCACGGCUUGUGUUUUGGGCCCCCGUCCCCGGUUUCCCCCGGGGACGGGCCCGAAAGGCAGCGGCGGCACCGCGUCCGGUCCUCGAGCGUAUGGGGCUUUGUCACCCGCUCUGUAGGCCCGGCCGGCGCCAGCCGACACCCAACUUUAUUUCUAAGGUUGACCUCGGAUCAGGUAGGGAUACCCGCUGAACUUAAGCAUAUCAUAAGCGGAGGA
RNAcentral lists this unclassified non-coding RNA (347 nucleotides) under soil metagenome. RNAcentral's name for it is "partial contains 5.8S ribosomal RNA, internal transcribed spacer 2, and large subunit ribosomal RNA". The stretch from base 1 to 120 matches the Rfam family "5.8S ribosomal RNA", at positions 35 to 154 of the family's 154-position model. The record is from RNAcentral.